RNAcentral lists this ribosomal RNA (246 nucleotides) under uncultured bacterium. RNAcentral describes it as "partial 16S ribosomal RNA". It matches the Rfam family "Bacterial small subunit ribosomal RNA", at positions 791 to 1035 of the family's 1533-position model. The record is from RNAcentral.
UAGUCCACGCCCUAAACGAUGUCUACUAGUUGUCGGGUCUUAAUUGACUUGGUAACGCAGCUAACGCGUGAAGUAGACCGCCUGGGGAGUACGGUCGCAAGAUUAAAACUCAAAGGAAUUGACGGGGACCCGCACAAGCGGUGGAUGAUGUGGAUUAAUUCGAUGCAACGCGAAAAACCUUACCUACCCUUGACAUGUCAGGAAUCCUCGAGAGAUCGGGGAGUGCCCGAAAGGGAGCCUGAACAC